Molecule: ribosomal RNA, 446 nt
Filed under: uncultured bacterium
Lineage: Bacteria
Description: bacterial SSU rRNA
Rfam family: Bacterial small subunit ribosomal RNA
Source: RNAcentral
GCCCAGACUCCUACGGGAGGCAGCAGUGGGGAAUAUUGCACAAUGGGGGAAACCCUGAUGCAGCGACGCCGCGUGAGCGAUGAAGUAUUUCGGUAUGUAAAGCUCUAUCAGCAGGGAAGAAAAUGACGAUACCUGACUAAGAAGCCCCGGCUAACUACGUGCCAGCAGCCGCGGUAAUACGUAGGGGGCAAGCGUUAUCCGGAUUUACUGGGUGUAAAGGGAGCGUAGACGGCUGUGCAAGCCAGAUGUGAAAGCCCGGGGCUCAACCCCGGGACUGCAUUUGGAACUGUGUGGCUGGAGUGUCGGAGAGGCAGGCGGAAUUCCUAGUGUAGCGGUGAAAUGCGUAGAUAUUAGGAGGAACACCAGUGGCGAAGGCGGCCUGCUGGACGAUGACUGACGUUGAGGCUCGAAAGCGUGGGGAGCAAACAGGAUUAGAUACCCGAGUA